This 559-nucleotide non-coding RNA is filed under the name Pan troglodytes (chimpanzee). Lineage: Eukaryota; Metazoa; Chordata; Mammalia; Primates; Hominidae. The record is from RNAcentral.
ACCUUGUUGCUAGGGACCGGGCGGUUUGCGGCAACCGUGGGCACUGCUGAAUUUGAAUUGAGGGGCGAGGGAAAAGUUUUCCUCAGGUGUGGUGGGGUGAGGGAGGCGGAUGCCGGGAAACCGUAGGGACGUGGUCAGAAAGGCGACGGGCUGUCGGAGUUGGAAAGGUAAAGUUGGAGGCAGGGCUACCAUCAGUCCCACGCCUCGCGUGUCCGCCCCCCGCACCCCGGGGCCAAGGAAAGGGAUCGCGGUCUGGACUCUCCGGGGAGUUCCCUUGAUGAGGGGAAGGGCAGGUUUGGGGACGGCGAGGACACGCGGCGACCGGAGAGAGGCUACCUGACCCGCGCAGCCCGGACUCCCUUCCCUUCCCUUCCAGGGACGCCUGGUUUCCCCCCAAGCGAACCGGGAUGGGAAGUGACUUCAAUGAGAUUGAACUUCAGCUGGAUUGAAAGAGAGGCUAGAAGUUCCGCUUGCCAGCAGCCUCGUUAGUAGAGCGGAAUGAGUAAUACCCACACGGUGCUUGUCUCACUUCCCCAUCCGCACCCGGCCCUCACCUGCU